RNAcentral lists this ribosomal RNA (318 nucleotides) under Triticum aestivum (bread wheat). Its description in RNAcentral is "partial small subunit ribosomal RNA". The record is from RNAcentral. Lineage: Eukaryota; Viridiplantae; Streptophyta; Magnoliopsida; Poales; Poaceae.
AUGCCGAGGAAGAAGCUAGCGUGGGCGAGAGCGGCGAGGAGCAUUCGGAGGCCGAGGAGGACGAGGAGAGCGAUGAAUCGACCGAUGACGAAGAAGUCGACUCGCCUCCUCGCAGGAAGAGGAGAUCCAAACACGCUCACGACUCGGCGAGCGCUCCGGACUUGGUGGCUGCGCCGACUGGUCAGUCUUCGAAGCGUCCUAGGACGUCUUCCCCAACACCGACUGAAAAGGCUCCAAAGCAGUCUAAAGUUGUGCCACCUCCAGCGCCGAAAGCUACCUACUCCAAACUGCCAAAAGCUUUGCCCAGGAUCAAAGUGA